UCAGCCGUCGAACCUGGAAGAAGGUAGACGUGUUUCCGUGGUGAUAUCCCGCGGAAACUAACGAAAGGUUCCGCGUGUAUCUUUAUCUUUACAAUUUGAAUCAAAAGACAUGAAAGUGAAAGUGACAGUGCUGAACGUAAUUAUACCAAUAAAUAAAAAAACAAACAAACGAAAUAAUAAAAGCUCAUUGACUCAAUAAAACACCAAAUUAAAAUAUAUAAACAUAAAAGUUGAAAGAUCGAAAUGUGGAACCAUUAGUAACCGGCCAGUCUAUAAUGGGCAGUCUAACGAUAAAAACAAAAAUAAUAAAAACUAAACAAAACUACAACAAAUUAUAUAUAAAAGGACACAUUAAAUUCUCAACAUUUUCUGUAUCUCUCGGGAGGUAGCCCAGCUCACGGGGAUAUAAUAAAGAGAAAAGGGAGAUAAGAAAAAAUAUAAACAUAAACAUUGACAUAGCGUUCGCUUGGGAGAUAGAACGAAGGAUGUGAUCCACAUAGUCUUCGGUAUGCUGUGUGAUUUCCCUGGAAUCACCUAUUCUGGUUUUCUUUUCCUCACGCAACACAGCAUUCACUUCAAAAUAAACCCACAUUCAAAACAAAACACAUAUGUACAGGAAGCUCACACCAACUUCAAAAAAAAAAAUAUCGACCCUUGGCCGAAGCGGUUUAUUUACCAGUGGCCAGGCUAGCUUCACGGUACACUAUAUGUGACGCUAAAGAAGGUCCCUCUAGUGUGCGCGGUGUGUAGGUGAUGGAAUACCUAAACCUAACCUAGCAAGUUGUAAACUUCUAGUGAGCGCGGGGUGCGUUGUCUGCGCGAUGUUUUCCGCGUUGGUAAAUAUUGUUACGAUUGCGAAUUCAUAAAACGUAGCGUGAUUUUAAUCCUCGAGAUCAGAAUACUAAAGUGAGUGGUGCCCGUGAACUAUUUGUAAUAUAAAACAAACUUGAAUAUAUCAUACCUGCAGAAUCUUCGAAAUUUCUUUAACGAUGGACGACAAGUUGCGACAAAUGGAGGACGAAAUGAACAGGUUCGAGGCGGAAAUCGGAGGUCAAUUAGUGACACCGAUGAUAAGACCAGUGAUAGGAGCAAAUACCUACAGUCAGGUUGCCAGGCAAUUGGAACAACAUGAAAUGCCAGGGCCUGUUGUAGCAGCUGGAGCUGCUGCAACUAUGGCUUUCCCACCUAUCAUGGGAUUUCCUCCUCCGCCACCGCCGCCGCCACCUCCACCACCGCCGAUGCUGAUACCGCCUCAAGUUGCUCGACAAGGAAGCGUGCCAAUCACGACGUAUUCUUCACCGGCACAACUCAGCAAUCCUUACGUAUCUAACAUGGAUCUCAGCUCAACCCCCAAAACGUAUGAUCCCCCUUCGUCCGGAUCUGUUAUUCAUCCCGAAAUCAUUGAACAGAUAAUAAACACGAAAAUACCGGAAGAGGAAUCCAAAAGAAAACUCAAACCUAAAGGGGUCAGUACAGCUGCGGAAUUGGCUAUCAGCCAAGGAAAAGCUAGCUCGAUAAUGGCAAAUGCUAGUGCCGAAGAAACGCAUCCAAAAGGAAAGGGAAAAAAGAAUAAAAAAAUUAUCAGGAUGGCUGGUGGACAGACGUGGGAAGAUCAGUCGUUGCUAGAGUGGGACGAUGAUGAUUUUCGAAUAUUUUGCGGUGAUUUGGGCAACGACGUGACGGAUGAAAUGUUGGUUCGUGUAUUUGGUAAAUACCCGAGUUUCCAAAAGGCAAAGGUGGUACGUGACAAGCGGACGAACAAGACGAAGGGUUUCGGUUUCGUCUCGUUUAAGGAUCCACAGGACUUUAUUAAGGCAAUGAAAGAGAUGAACGACUGUGACUGUGAAAUUUACGGGCCUGCCAGAGUAGUGACUGCGCAGCGUGGACGAAUCAUCACCUGUGUAUCGUCGAGCGAAUCGUCCAAAUCCACUUGGGAGUAACAAUAACCUGAAAAAAUUAUAAAUAACUUAUAAAAAAGCGCUAAAAAUAGCCGAUACCUCGCUGUUUCCCAACUCUGUAUGAGACGCUGAACGAAACGAAAUUGAGAAAAGGGCAGCGAGAGCAUUCGCUGAAGAACGAACCACUCGAGAUGAUAAUGCAAACGAGAUGGAGAAAGAGGUGUUACGAGUCAUUUCGCCAUAAGUGCAUAGUACUAUUUCAUGAUUCAUCAUUAACUUGAUGACAGCAAUGACCGUGCUGAGUCUUGUGCCACUUUUUUAUCUUACUUUUACGUCAGAUUUGGUUACUCAGAAAUGCGAUUGGUAUUUAUAGUAACAAUGGGAAAGCUAUUUUGUGGGCAGCCUGCUGCCACAUGACGUAUGCACCAUUAAAGGCUUUCAUACUCCAAUUUCUCUCUACAAAAUUAGCCAAAAAUUUUGGCAUUCCAUUGAUUUCCAAUGAAAUAAACGAAGCACGCAACGCCCUUGGGUUGAACAAUGAAUUCAAUUGAAAGGAAGGUACGUCGGGUCGAGACCAAUAAAGUUGCGGAAGAGCUCGUGGAAGCAGAGGAAUCUCGAAACAGUGAGAAAAAAGGAAAAAGAAAAGCAGGCUUUAAUCGGGCUCUUGACUGGUCGGUGAUGCA
This 2581-nucleotide unclassified non-coding RNA is filed under the name Venturia canescens. Its description in RNAcentral is "rNA-binding protein 42, transcript variant X1". Lineage: Eukaryota; Metazoa; Arthropoda; Insecta; Hymenoptera; Ichneumonidae. The record is from RNAcentral.